Molecule: non-coding RNA, 112 nt
Filed under: Diaphorobacter sp. J5-51
Lineage: Bacteria; Pseudomonadati; Pseudomonadota; Betaproteobacteria; Burkholderiales; Comamonadaceae
Also listed under: 1 other name
Description: Glycine riboswitch aptamer
Rfam family: Glycine riboswitch aptamer
About the family: This family represents the bacterial glycine riboswitch. Glycine riboswitches usually consist of two metabolite-binding aptamers domains with similar structures in tandem.
Source: Rfam by way of RNAcentral
ACACAGCCGUCUGGAGAGCCGCCACGCCCGCCGUGGCGCACCGAAGGAGCAAGUGCCGCGCACGGUCCCGCGCGGCAUGAAUCUCUCAGGUACCAAGGACAGGGGGAGCGGC